AGAGUUUGAUCCUGGCUCAAGAUGAACGCUGGCGGCGUGCUUAACACAUGCAAGUCGAACGGACCUUCGGGUUAGUGGCGGACGGGUGAGUAACGCGUGAGAAUCUGCCCUCAGGAGGGGGAUAACGGUUGGAAACGACCGCUAAUACCCCAUAUGCCGAUAGGUGAAACGAAUUUCGCCUGAGGAUGAGCCCGCGUCUGAUUAGCUAGUUGGUAAGGUAAAGGCUUACCAAGGCUUCGAUCAGUAGCUGGUCUGAGAGGAUGAUCAGCCACACUGGGACUGAGACACGGCCCAGACUCCUACGGGAGGCAGCAGUGGGGAAUUUUCCGCAAUGGGCGAAAGCCUGACGGAGCAACGCCGCGUGAGGGACGAAGGCCUCUGGGCUGUAAACCUCUUUUCUCAAGGAAGAAGAUAUGACGGUACUUGAGGAAUAAGCCACGGCUAAUUCCGUGCCAGCAGCCGCGGUAAUACGGGAGUGGCAAGCGUUAUCCGGAAUUAUUGGGCGUAAAGCGUCCGCAGGCGGCCUUUCAAGUCUGCUGUUAAAGCGUGGAGCUUAACUCCAUUAUGGCAGUGGAAACUGAUAGGCUUGAGUAUGGUAGGGGCAGAGGGAAUUCCCGGUGUAGCGGUGAAAUGCGUAGAUAUCGGGAAGAACACCAGUGGCGAAGGCGCUCUGCUGGGCCAUUACUGACGCUCAUGGACGAAAGCCAGGGGAGCGAAAGGGAUUAGAUACCCCUGUAGUCCUGGCCGUAAACGAUGAACACUAGGUGUCGGGGGAAUCGACCCCUUCGGUGUCGUAGCUAACGCGUUAAGUGUUCCGCCUGGGGAGUACGCACGCAAGUGUGAAACUCAAAGGAAUUGACGGGGGCCCGCACAAGCGGUGGAGUAUGUGGUUUAAUUCGAUGCAACGCGAAGAACCUUACCAGGGUUUGACAUCCUGCGAACCUCUUAGAAAUUUGAGGGUGCCUUCGGGAAUGCAGUGACAGGUGGUGCAUGGCUGUCGUCAGCUCGUGUCGUGAGAUGUUGGGUUAAGUCCCGCAACGAGCGCAACCCACGUUUUUAGUUGCCAGCAUUUAGUUGGGCACUCUAGAAAGACCGCCGGUGAUAAACCGGAGGAAGGUGUGGAUGACGUCAAGUCAUCAUGCCCCUUACACCCUGGGCUACACACGUACUACAAUGCUACGGACAAAGGGCAGCAAACUCGCGAGAGCUAGCAAAUCCCAUAAACCGUGGCUCAGUUCAGAUCGUAGGCUGCAACUCGCCUACGUGAAGUAGGAAUCGCUAGUAAUCGCAGGUCAGCAUACUGCGGUGAAUACGUUCCCGGGCCUUGUACACACCGCCCGUCACACCAUGGAAGUUGGCCAUGCCCGAAGUCGUUACUCCAACCCUUGUGGAGGAGGACGCCGAAGGUGGGGCUAAUGACUGGGGUGAAGUCGUAACAAGGUAGCCGUACCGGAAGGUGCGGCUG
RNAcentral lists this ribosomal RNA (1465 nucleotides) under marine metagenome. RNAcentral describes it as "bacterial SSU rRNA". It matches the Rfam family "Bacterial small subunit ribosomal RNA". The record is from RNAcentral.